UACGAAGGGGGCUAGCGUUGCUCGGAAUCACUGGGCGUAAAGGGUGCGUAGGCGGGUCUUUAAGUCAGAGGUGAAAUCCUGGAGCUCAACUCCAGAACUGCCUUUGAUACUGAGGAUCUUGAGUACGGGAGAGGUGAGUGGAACUGCGAGUGUAGAGGUGAAAUUCGUAGAUAUUCGGAAGAACACCAGUGGCGAAGGCGACUUACUGGACACAUAUUGACGCUGAGGUGCGAAAGCGUGGGGAGCAAACAGG
RNAcentral lists this ribosomal RNA (253 nucleotides) under uncultured bacterium. Its description in RNAcentral is "partial 16S ribosomal RNA". It matches the Rfam family "Bacterial small subunit ribosomal RNA", at positions 524 to 776 of the family's 1533-position model. The record is from RNAcentral.